CAGCACAUUUUAGUCACUGCAACUUCCGUCACUACAAACCUUUAAGGAUUCAGAACAAUGUUCUUCAACGCUUGCUGAAUUGUCACAACUGUGCUGCAGCUACAGUAUCCACUGUGUACUACACUGAAAGAUACUGCCUGCACAUGCACCUGGAACAUGCUCAAAAGAUGCCAUGCAACUUGGAAGCCCAGAGGCUUUUAUGACAAGCAAUGAAGUGUGCAGCUGAAGUGCAGGAAGAAUUGAACAUUUUAACUUGGAGGGAUUGGGGUAUCAGAAAGAGAACUGCAAAGGUGAAUCUCAGUGAAGGAGGCGUGGAACUGUUGGGGAACACGAAGUGAGGGCUCUGAGCUGGGCACUGUAAAAUGGGGUUCUGGUAGCGUGGGCUCGAUCAUUAUUGUGGUAAUCCUACUUUAAUCCUAGUAUAUACCCAGACCUUGAAGAAAGGAAUCUGAGAGCAGAAUAUUGCCUGCUUACCUCCCUGCCAUCCUUGACUUUGCAGAUCUCAGCUAAGACCUGCUUGAAUAAGCAGCUACAUUUCUUGGCGCUCAUCCAAGGUAACUAAAACCAAAACUUUUGCAGAUCACCUUUUACAUUAAAUCUCUUUUCCUUAGGAAAUAAAUUUGCACUUCAGCUUGGCCUAUGCUACAUAAGUAAGUAUACAAAUCAGGACAUUUUUCUGAUUGAAAGGGCACACAGAGAUUGCUCCAGGCUAUUAAUACCAUGCUGUGUGGAAUAAGGAGAGAUAACCAAGAAUUUACUUUGCAGAGCUCAAAAAUGAUAAUGCACACAGCUGAAAGAGUACUGUUUUUCCAGUGCAGCACACCUUCAUAAUCACUUAUGGAAAUAGUAGUGUUUUUUAAUAUUUUUAGUGACAUUUACAAGGGUUUUGACUAAAAGUUGUAAAGGCAGGACUCAGUUCCUGUAUCAAGGCAGCACUAUUUGAAAAUUAUCUGACAAACCACAUUAAAGCUAUCUCAAAUAUCUAGAUGAGAAAGGCAAAGAAUUGCAAUUUCAAUCCAGAGCUAAAGCUGAACUGAAAGAAGUUCCAAAAUAGCUUCCAACCUAGAACUUUCAAGCUUCUGAAUAGCUUUGAAUCUAAAUUUCACUUUAUCUCACAUCUGCAUCUGCUCUUUUGCAAAUGACAGAAAACUUCCCAUUAUUUUUAACGGGCCAAGUGAUGUGUCAUAGGCAAGGUCAAACAAGUGACUGAGCAUUUACAGAAUCAAGAUAUGAACAUAUUCACAAUUCAUAAGUCAUUGUGCCCUGUGCAGUGACACUUUGCAGGCACAGCUAAGAGGGAGAUGGGGGUGAACGAGACUGUGCUGGGUUCUGUGCUGCAGAAUGAGGUCUGAAUUAUUGCAGGGUCCUCCUGGCCCGAGAGCAGGCCUAUUCACCUGAAUGGACCAUACUUGUGAAAUGAUUAUUUUAAAAUUCCGUUUCUUCAGUGUAUUCAAUAAAGGCUUUUCUUUAAUUCAGUACGGUAGGACCAGCGGUGUUCCAAGACAUUUCUCCUUUCAUGCUUGUUAGAUAAUCCUUUCCUAACUUAGAGGUAAGAAAGUCUGUCUUUAUCUCCAAGAGAUGAAAGCAGGAGAUAGUCCUGUCGUACAGAUCGGUUUUGCUUGCCUGUCUGGAAUUUUUAUUACAAUGCCAGAUCCUCCACAGAACAAAGGAACAGAGAGGGGAAGCCUGGACAGCAUUCUCUGGUGCCUGCUUGAGGUCGUCAACUUCUAAAUAUUUCAGGCAGCACCUCUGGCUCUGAAUGAAAAUGGACAAAUGAAAAAUGUGGAAGGAGUUUUCAAGGACAGGAUUGGUUGGUAGAUUUACCAUGGUAUGGGAUAGCUUUCUGGUGAAAAGUUAUGGCAAAUUAGCCUGAAUAUAGUACUUAAAUAUAUGGCACAAAGCAAUUCCAGACAGUUACAGCAAUAAGCAAAGUAGCCUAGGGGUCUUUUUCAUCUAGGCAGUUUGGGAAUGAGUCUCUGAUUGAGUCUCGCAGUAUAAUCUGCAGCUGGUGAGCAAGGAGGGAAAAAAGUCAAUAUUUGCUUUUAAAAAUAUUCUGAAUGUUUUGUACUCUAGCCACUAUGUUUUCCUAUUCUUCAUGCACAUGAUAUUAUAUAAAUGUUGCCCACUUUCCUUAUAGUGCUAAGGAAACAAAUUUAAUUGUAGAAAAAAACAGCAGCAGCUUGGAGGUGGUGGCAGGAAAGUACAGGACAGAAGCUGAAAGGAAGAGGGAAGGAAGACGAAACAAAGCACAUCACCUCAUCACUCCCCUAGCUACCAUAAGAGCAAUCAGCUCAAGAGAACAUUUCUUUCAGGCUGCAUUCAAUCUGCUGCAGUUUAAAAUGUCUCAAGUGAUGGAGAAUAUUUUCUCACUACUUAUGGAAAAGUUAGAAUGUGUCAGUUCAAACUAAUAAAUAUCUGGUUUGGCGGUGACAUUUACAAGUUGCCUGCUCCACUGAGCUCAGUACGCAAGAUAACAGCUCACAUUCUACAGUCAGUUCCUUAAUUAUCUUGUCCUCCCCCCAAAGAUUUGUCAGGAAGCCAUCUGAUGAUAUCCCAGAUAGAUUUGCUAUGCCAGUAAAGCAUUGGUUUGACUUUGACAUGCUUUCUGGUUUACUGAAGAUGCCCUCCUGGUAGGAGGAGAUGACUCAGCAGCUGCUCCAGUGCUUGUCCUCCCCACCUUAAAAACAGUUCUCUUUAAAUGCGUUUCCUUAAGGAGUUAUUCAAGAUUCUCAUCAUAUAUUCAGCAGAAAAGAAGAACAAAAAUCUUCCCCCAAACAAUGUUCUAUAUUUUUGAAAGCAGUUUUAGAGUAAGAACUAUAUAGUAUCUAGGACAGAGUGGAAUAUAAAUUAACAUGGAAAGGACAAAAGAAACUUCAACAUAGUGCAUGGAAUCCAGAAUUUGUUUCGUAAUGAAAUUCUUACUUCUUAAAUAGACCCAUACUCUUCUCCUUUCUUCACAGAUUUUCCACUGAAAUUUUUUUAUUAGCAGUCAAAAGGCGGAGAGUGAAGAGACCCAAAGACCCCAUUGCUGUGUGAAUUCACAUUAUUUUUAGCUCUCCUGCAUGAAAAAUUAUGGAGGAGAAAUUUUAGGCUUGUGGAAUGAUACCUCACCUAUAUGCAAAAAUAUAAUUCCAAAGUAAAUCCUUAUGAUCUCAUCAAAUUACUGUAUUAAAGAUCGUAACAAAAAUACCUGUUCAAGCAAGACACUCAAAUGUACAAAGUAUAAAUUAAUUCCCAGAAGACCAACUUGAAUGAAGUCUGCAUUAAACCUAUUCUGUGGCUGAUUAUACUUGCUUUGAAAAAUUGUCUUGUUCAUAUCUACAAUCACACUGGCACAAUAAUAAAAUCCUCAAGCCUUGGCUGCA
Non-coding RNA from Phasianus colchicus (ring-necked pheasant), 3365 nucleotides. The record is from RefSeq and is a predicted model, not a curated record. NCBI's taxonomy places the organism in Eukaryota, Metazoa, Chordata, Aves, Galliformes, Phasianidae.